AACGCACAUUGCGCCCGCUAGUAUUCUGGCGGGCAUGCCUGUUCGAGCGUCAUUUCAACCAUCAAGCCCUGCUUGUGUUGGGGUCCUGCGGCUGCCCGCAGGCCCUGAAAACCAGUGGCGGGCUCGCUAGUCACACCGAGCGCAGUAGCACAUCUCGCUCAGGGCGUGCGGCGGGUUCUUGCCGUGAAACCCCCCCCCUUCCAAAGGUUGACCUCGGAUCAGGUAGGAAUACCCGCUGAACUUAA
Molecule: unclassified non-coding RNA, 245 nt
Filed under: uncultured Podospora
Lineage: Eukaryota; Fungi; Ascomycota; Sordariomycetes; Sordariales; Lasiosphaeriaceae
Description: sequence contains ITS2
Source: RNAcentral